GAUGAACGCUGGCGGCGUGCCUAAUACAUGCAAGUCGAGCGAACGGACGAGAAGCUUGCUUCUCUGAUGUUAGCGGCGGACGGGUGAGUAACACGUGGAUAACCCACCUAUAAGACUGGGAUAACUUCGGGAAACCGGAGCUAAUACCGGAUAAUAUUUUGAACCGCAUGGUUCAACAGUGAAAGACGGUUUUGCUGUCACUUAUAGAUGGAUCCGCGCUGCAUUAGCUAGUUGGUAAGGUAACGGCUUACCAAGGCAACGAUGCGUAGCCGACCUGAGAGGGUGAUCGGCCACACUGGAACUGAGACACGGUCCAGACUCCUACGGGAGGCAGCAGUAGGGAAUCUUCCGCAAUGGGCGAAAGCCUGACGGAGCAACGCCGCGUGAGUGAUGAAGGUCUUCGGAUCGUAAAACUCUGUUAUUAGGGAAGAACAUAUGUGUAAGUAACUGUGCACAUCUUGACGGUACCUAAUCAGAAAGCCACGGCUAACUACGUG
RNAcentral lists this ribosomal RNA (497 nucleotides) under uncultured bacterium. RNAcentral's name for it is "partial 16S ribosomal RNA". It matches the Rfam family "Bacterial small subunit ribosomal RNA", at positions 28 to 507 of the family's 1533-position model. The record is from RNAcentral.